AACGCGAAGAACCUUACCCAGUCUUGACAUAUAGUAGACAGCUCCAGAAAUGGAGUCUUCCUUCGGGACUGCUAUACAGGUGCUGCAUGGCUGUCGUCAGCUCGUGCCGUGAGGUGUUGGGUUAAGUCCCGCAACGAGCGCAACCCUUAUCACUAGUUGCCAACACGUAAUGGUGGGAACUCUAGUGAGACUGCCUGGGUUAACCAGGAGGAAGGUGAGGAUGACGUCAAGUCCGCAUGGCCCUUAUGACUGGGGCUACACACGUGCUACAAUGGUCGGUACAGAAGGCAGCGAAGCCGUGAGGCGUAGCAAAUCCCAAAAAGCCGAUCUCAGUUCAGAUUGUAGUCUGCAACUCGACUACAUGAAGACGGAAUUGCUAGUAAUGGCGAGUCAGCAACAUCGCCGUGAAUACGUUCCCGGGUCUUGUACACACCG
Molecule: ribosomal RNA, 435 nt
Filed under: uncultured bacterium
Lineage: Bacteria
Description: bacterial SSU rRNA
Rfam family: Bacterial small subunit ribosomal RNA
Source: RNAcentral